UUCCCCUAGUAACGGCGAGUGAAGCGGGAAAAGCUCAAAUUUAAAAUCUGGCUGUCUUUGAUAGUCCGAGUUGUAAUCUAGAGAAGCGUUUUCCGCGCUGGACUGUGUACAAGUUUCCUGGAUACGGAACAUCAUAGAGGGUGAGAAUCCCGUCCUUGACACAGACUCCCAGUGCUCUGCGAUGCGCUCUCGACGAGUCGAGUUGUUUGGGAUUGCAGCUCAAAAUGGGAGGUAAAUUCCUUCUAAAGCUAAAUAUUGGCGAGAGACCGAUAGCGAACAAGUACCGUGAGGGAAAGAUGAAAAGCACUUUGGAAAGAGAGUUAAACAGUACGUGAAAUUGUUAAAAGGGAAACGCUUGAAGUCAGUCGCGUUUACUUGGACUCAGCCAGGCCUCGGUUUGGUGUAUUUCCUUGUGAACGGGCCAGCGUCCAUGUUGUCUGCCGGAAAAGGUUCAGGGGAAUGUGGCUCUUUCGGGAGUGUUAUAGCCCCGGUUCGUAUACGGUGUGCGAUAUGGAGUGGUACAGCACGUUCUUUGGUGCUUGUGCUGGCAUAAUGGCUUUAAACGACCCGUCUUGAAACACGGACCAAGGAGUCUAACAUGUCUGCGAGUGUUUGGGUGGAAAACCCGAGCGCGCAAUGAAAGUGAUAGCUGGGAACCCCUCACGGGAGGCACCGGCGCCCCGAGCUGACCUUCUGUGACGCAUCGGAGGUAGAGCAUAUAUGUUGGGACCCGAAAGAUGGUGAACUAUGCCUGCAUAGGGCGAAGCCAGAGGAAACUCUGGUGGAGGCUCGUAGCGAUUCUGACGUGCAAAUCGAUCGUCAAAUGUGGGUAUAGGGGCGAAAGACUAAUCGAACCAU
RNAcentral lists this ribosomal RNA (858 nucleotides) under Sistotrema oblongisporum. Its description in RNAcentral is "eukaryotic LSU rRNA". It matches the Rfam family "Eukaryotic large subunit ribosomal RNA", at positions 75 to 943 of the family's 3401-position model. Lineage: Eukaryota; Fungi; Basidiomycota; Agaricomycetes; Cantharellales; Hydnaceae. The record is from RNAcentral.